This is a non-coding RNA of Podospora appendiculata, 115 nucleotides long. The record is from the annotation of a GenBank genome assembly. NCBI's taxonomy places the organism in Eukaryota, Fungi, Ascomycota, Sordariomycetes, Sordariales, Podosporaceae.
GGCAACUUGGCCGAGUGGUCUAAGGCGACGCACUCAAGGAUUUCCUUUGCUUCUUUGAAGAGAAGCAAGCAUUGCGUUCUCGCAAGAGGCGAGAGUUCGAAUCUCUCAGUUGUCA